RNAcentral lists this unclassified non-coding RNA (387 nucleotides) under soil metagenome. RNAcentral's name for it is "partial contains 5.8S ribosomal RNA, internal transcribed spacer 2, and large subunit ribosomal RNA". The stretch from base 1 to 120 matches the Rfam family "5.8S ribosomal RNA", at positions 35 to 154 of the family's 154-position model. The record is from RNAcentral.
GAUGAAGAACGCAGCGAAAUGCGAUAAGUAAUGUGAAUUGCAGAAUUCAGUGAAUCAUCGAAUCUUUGAACGCACCUUGCGCUCCUUGGUAUUCCGAGGAGCAUGCCUGUUUGAGUGUCAUGAAAUUCUCAACCUUUUCAGCUUUCUUUGUUGAUCAGGCUUGGAUGUGGGAGUAUGCGGGCUUCUCAGAAGUCGGCUCUCCUGAAAUGCAUUAGCGGGACCUUUGUUGCCUGGCUUUGGUGUGAUAAUUAUCUACGCCAUUGUAGUCAAGGAGCUUAAAAUGAGGUUUCAGCUUCUAACCGUCUCCCCUGAGACAACUUUUUGACAAUUUGACCUCAAAUCAGGUAGGACUACCCGCUGAACUUAAGCAUAUCAAUAAGCGGAGGA